This 264-nucleotide long non-coding RNA is filed under the name Lathyrus oleraceus (garden pea). RNAcentral's name for it is "Pisum sativum (pea) long non-coding RNA (PSAT_LNC010585)". The record is from RNAcentral. Lineage: Eukaryota; Viridiplantae; Streptophyta; Magnoliopsida; Fabales; Fabaceae.
CACCUCAAUAGUCUUGAGACUCUUUCCAGAUUAGAUUCACCCUUAGGAAUGAGAGAGAUGAAUCCUUCCUUGCAAAUGUGUCACACAUCAACCAGAACCCAUGUGACACAGGUCAACAGCCAACCUGACCCUAGGCUGACCAAACGUGAGGGGGUUGACCAAAACUCCCCCUCAAAUCAACAAUCAUGGAAACUCCACACCAAUAUCCAUGCAUUGUACACAAAUGUCUCAACAUGACAUCCACCAUCCCUUACCAGUGGCAAC